GAUGAAGAACGUAGCGAAAUGCGAUACGUAAUGUGAAUUGCAGAUUUCAGUGAAUCAUAGAAUCUUUGAACGCACAUUGCGCCCGCUAGUAUUCUGGCGGGCAUGCCUGUUCGAGCGUCAUUUCAACCAUCAAGCCCCCGGCUUGCGUUGGAGCCCUGCGGCUGCCGCAGGCUCCCAAAUCCAGUGGCGGGCUCGUCGUCGUACCGAGUGCAGUAAACAUCCUCGCUCAGGGAACGUGACGGGUUCUUGCCGUGAAACCCCCCACAUAUCAAGGUUGACCUCGGAUCAGGUAGGAAUACCCGCUGAACUUAAGCAUAUCAAUAAGCGGAGGA
This 332-nucleotide unclassified non-coding RNA is filed under the name soil metagenome. Its description in RNAcentral is "partial contains 5.8S ribosomal RNA, internal transcribed spacer 2, and large subunit ribosomal RNA". The stretch from base 1 to 120 matches the Rfam family "5.8S ribosomal RNA", at positions 35 to 154 of the family's 154-position model. The record is from RNAcentral.